Molecule: ribosomal RNA, 253 nt
Filed under: uncultured bacterium
Lineage: Bacteria
Description: partial 16S ribosomal RNA
Rfam family: Bacterial small subunit ribosomal RNA
Source: RNAcentral
UACGGGGGGGGUAAGCGUUGUUCGGAAUUACUGGGCGUAAAGGGCUCGUAGGCGGCCAACUAAGUCGGACGUGAAAUCCCUCAGCUUAACUGGGGAACUGCGUCUGAUACUGGAUGGCUUGAGUUCGGGAGAGGGAUGCGGAAUUCCAGGUGUAGCGGUGAAAUGCGUAGAUAUCUGGAGGAACACCGGUGGCGAAGGCGGCAUCCUGGACCGACACUGACGCUGAUGAGCGAAAGCCAGGGGAGCAAACGGG